GACGAACGCUGGCGGCGUGCCUAAUACAUGCAAGUCGAGCGAAUCUGAUGGGAGCUUGCUCCUUGAUGAUUAGCGGCGGACGGGUGAGUAACACGUGGGUAACCUGCCUGUAAGACUGGGAUAACUCCGGGAAGCCGGGGCUAAUACCGGAUAACUUUUUUCUUCGCAUGAGGGAGAAUUGAAAGAUGGCUUCGGCUAUCACUUACAGAUGGACCCGCGGCGCAUUAGCUAGUUGGUGAGGUAACGGCUCACCAAGGCGACGAUGCGUAGCCGACUUGAGAGGGUGAUCGGCCACACUGGGACUGAGACACGGCCCAGACUCCUACGGGAGGCAGCAGUAGGGAAUCUUCCGCAAUGGACGAAAGUCUGACGGAGCAACGCCGCGUGAGUGAUGAAGGUUUUCGGAUCGUAAAACUCUGUUGUUAGGGAAGAACAAGUAUCGUUCGAAUAGGGCGGUACCUUGACGGUACCUAACCAGAAAGCCACGGCUAACUACGUG
Molecule: ribosomal RNA, 499 nt
Filed under: uncultured bacterium
Lineage: Bacteria
Description: partial 16S ribosomal RNA
Rfam family: Bacterial small subunit ribosomal RNA
Source: RNAcentral